Molecule: long non-coding RNA, 285 nt
Organism: Carica papaya (papaya)
Lineage: Eukaryota; Viridiplantae; Streptophyta; Magnoliopsida; Brassicales; Caricaceae
Source: RefSeq, a predicted model, not a curated record
GAGGGAGAGCAUUCAGGGCUUAGGGGAUUUAUUUUCUUCUCUCUUCUGCUCGAAGAAGGGGAAAGAGGAGAAUGUACAUGGAAUUUCAGGAGGUCGAACGAGAGAAAUAGCAGCCUCUUCCAGUGACUAAUUGGAAAAUAUGUUUCACCAAUCCUCUACUCUGAAAUGGUUCAGAAGCAAAUGCAAAUUCAGGUGCUGGUGCAUCCGGGUCACAUCCUUCGAUCGCUCCAUGUCUGAAUGGUUUAGUAAUGUAUUCUUGAUCUAUCUUUUCAUGGUUAAGCAAAA